RNAcentral lists this unclassified non-coding RNA (270 nucleotides) under Hevea brasiliensis (rubber tree). Lineage: Eukaryota; Viridiplantae; Streptophyta; Magnoliopsida; Malpighiales; Euphorbiaceae. The record is from RNAcentral.
CAUAGGGGAGAUCAGAGCCGUUGAUUUGGAUUUGGAACCGUGGCUAUGGUUAGAUUCACGACCGCUCGAUACUGCGGCCGUCGAAGAAGACUGGCCCCUCCACGCAGACUAAGGUUUCAACUUCUCGCCCUGACCGCCUCCGCAGUGGAGCUUGGAGCUGCUGCUUUCUCAGAAACGUUGGUUGGUCUUUCUUCUUCGAGAUGUUCAACGACGGCCCUGAAGCCGGAUUUUCAUUCCUCCUUUUUUGCCCCUUUUUUGGCAGUUUGGUUU